CACGGGUGCUUGCACCUGGUGGCGAGUGGCGAACGGGUGAGUAAUGCAUCGGAACGUAUCCAAUAAUGGGGGAUAACGCAUCGAAAGGUGUGCUAAUACCGCAUACGCCCUGAGGGGGAAAGUGGGGGAUCUUCGGACCUCACGUUAAUGGAGCGGCCGAUGUCUGAUUAGCUAGUUGGUGAGGUAAAGGCUCACCAAGGCGACGAUCAGUAGCUGGUCUGAGAGGACGACCAGCCACACUGGGACUGAGACACGGCCCAGACUCCUACGGGAGGCAGCAGUGGGGAAUUUUGGACAAUGGGGGCAACCCUGAUCCAGCCAUGCCGCGUGAGUGAAGAAGGCCUUCGGGUUGUAAAGCUCUUUCGCAAGGAAAGAAAACUUAGCCACUAAUACUGGCUGAGGCUGACGGUACCUUGAUAAGAAGCACCGGCUAACUACGUGCCAGCAGCCGCGGUAAUACGUAGGGUGCGAGCGUUAAUCGGAAUUACUGGGCGUAAAGC
RNAcentral lists this ribosomal RNA (500 nucleotides) under uncultured bacterium. Its description in RNAcentral is "bacterial SSU rRNA". It matches the Rfam family "Bacterial small subunit ribosomal RNA", at positions 71 to 566 of the family's 1533-position model. The record is from RNAcentral.